This 252-nucleotide ribosomal RNA is filed under the name uncultured bacterium. RNAcentral's name for it is "partial 16S ribosomal RNA". It matches the Rfam family "Bacterial small subunit ribosomal RNA", at positions 524 to 776 of the family's 1533-position model. The record is from RNAcentral.
UACAGAGGGUGCAGAGUCGUUGAUUGAUUGAUGGCGUAAAGGGCGCGUAGGCGGUGCGGUAAGUCACCUGUGAAAUCUCCUGGCUCAACUGGGAGCUUGCAGGCGAAACUGCCGUGCUGGAGUGUGGGAGAGGUGAGUGGAAUUCCUGGUGUAGCGGUGAAAUGCGCAGAUAUCAGGAAGAACACCCGUGGCGAAAGCGGCUCUCUGGAACGGUACUGACGCUGAGACGCGAAAGCGUGGGGAGCGAACAGG